UGGGGAAUAUUGCGCAAUGGGCGAAAGCCUGACGCAGCGACGCCGCGUGAGGGAUGAAGGUUUUCGGAUCGUAAACCUCUGUCAGAAGGGAAGAAACCGCACUGUGCUAAUCAGCAGUGCCUUGACGGUACCUUCAAAGGAAGCACCGGCUAACUCCGUGCCAGCAGCCGCGGUAAUACGGAGGGUGCAAGCGUUAAUCGGAAUUACUGGGCGUAAAGCGCACGUAGGCUGCUUUGUAAGUCAGGGGUGAAAUCCCACGGCUCAACCGUGGAACUGCCUUUGAUACUGCUUAGCUUGAAUCCGAGAGAGGGUGGCGGAAUUCCAGGUGUAGGAGUGAAAUCCGUAGAUAUCUGGAGGAACAUCAGUGGCGAAGGCGGCCACCUGGACCGGUAUUGACGCUGAGGUGCGAAAGCGUGGGGAGCAAACAGG
This 429-nucleotide ribosomal RNA is filed under the name Fusobacteriota bacterium. RNAcentral describes it as "Fusobacteria bacterium partial 16S ribosomal RNA". It matches the Rfam family "Bacterial small subunit ribosomal RNA", at positions 355 to 776 of the family's 1533-position model. Lineage: Bacteria; Fusobacteriati; Fusobacteriota. The record is from RNAcentral.